GGGGCUGUCAUGGUUUCGACAGGUGAUCGUUUGAAAUGAACUGCAGUGGAUUGGUGACCUAAUUACCAAACAAAAAUAACUGGAAACAGUAACUACGCAUUUGCUGCUUAAUUAACGCUUAAAUAGCUUGCAGCAACUAUCUCCUAAGACGCUGUCCUUGUGGCUUAGUGAGAUUGAUAUAACCAAAUAAGGAAUAAGCUUUGGUUAGCCCGAAAUCAGAGACGAAAACCUAAGGGCAUAUCGCGAUGAAUCUUUGUUUGUUUCUAUACUUGCGAUGUAUUGAAGAAAUUAACUAAACUGUAGACGUUUAUUUGUGGGACAUUGCUUGGACGCGGGUUCAACUCCCGUCAGCUCCACCA
This 359-nucleotide transfer-messenger RNA is filed under the name Erysipelothrix sp. It matches the Rfam family "transfer-messenger RNA". From Rfam's summary of the family: Bacterial tmRNA, also known as 10Sa RNA or SsrA, is named for its dual tRNA and mRNA-like properties. The record is from RNAcentral. Lineage: Bacteria; Bacillati; Bacillota; Erysipelotrichia; Erysipelotrichales; Erysipelotrichaceae. RNAcentral also lists the same sequence under 1 other name.